RNAcentral lists this ribosomal RNA (327 nucleotides) under Triticum aestivum (bread wheat). RNAcentral's name for it is "partial small subunit ribosomal RNA". Lineage: Eukaryota; Viridiplantae; Streptophyta; Magnoliopsida; Poales; Poaceae. The record is from RNAcentral.
AUGCAAAGACAAGGAUAUCCAAGAACGCAUCCAGGAAACCUCUUCUUCCUUACUUUAAAUCAACAAUUAAACAUUGCACUCUGGGGAGGCAUUCGCACAGUCCAAGCCUGGUGGACGGCGACGGUUCUUAGGCGUGGACAUAGGAGGAAGGCCAUUUCAUCACUUCUCAUGCUCGUCACAUGAGAUAUAUGGAACGAGGGAAACACUAGAGCUUUUCGUACCAAAUCGACUAUGCCUACUGUACUAGUAGACAACAUCAAAUGGGGGGCAAGGAAUUGGGGCCUUGCAGGGGCGAAACAAUUCUGCGCCUCGAUGCCGCGAGAGUAG